RNAcentral lists this ribosomal RNA (388 nucleotides) under uncultured eukaryote. RNAcentral's name for it is "SSU rRNA". It matches the Rfam family "Eukaryotic small subunit ribosomal RNA", at positions 575 to 968 of the family's 1831-position model. The record is from RNAcentral.
CGCGGUAAUUCCAGCUCCAAUAGCGUAUAUUAAAGUUGUUGCAGUUAAAAAGCUCGUAGUUGAACCUUGGGUCUGGCUGGCCGGUCCGCCUCACCGCGUGCACUGGUCCGGCUGGAUCUUUCCUUCUGGGGAGCCCCAUGGCCUUCACUGGCCGUGGGGGGAACCAGGACUUUUACUGUGAAAAAAUUAGAGUGUUCAAAGCAGGCCUUUGCUCGGAUACAUUAGCAUGGAAUAAUAGAAUAGGACGUGCGGUUCUAUUUUGUUGGUUUUCUAGGACCGCUGUAAUGAUUAAUAGGGAUAGUCGGGGGCGUCCGUAUUCAAUUGUCAGAGGUGAAAUUCUUGGAUUUAUUGAAGACGAACUACUGCGAAAGCAUUCGCCAAGGAUGUU